RNAcentral lists this unclassified non-coding RNA (314 nucleotides) under plant metagenome. Its description in RNAcentral is "partial contains small subunit ribosomal RNA, internal transcribed spacer 1, and 5.8S ribosomal RNA". The record is from RNAcentral.
UUUCCGUAGGUGAACCUGCGGAAGGAUCAUUGAAUCGAUCGAAUCCACAACGGUGACCUUUAAACGUGAGUCCCUCCACUUGGCCCUCACGGGUCGAUUGGGCGUCGAUUGGACUUUAGCAGUCCCACAGUGACGGGGUUCAUACUGACUGGAGCCAGUCGGCGGGUUGAUCGCUUUGCCGAUCGAUUGGGCGGGGUUUACCCCAGUACUUUACCUUUCACCCAAACCUAAAAACAACAAACUGAAGCAAUUGCAAUCAGCUCUGCUGGCUGCUAUUAACUGACAAACUCUCAACAACGGAUAUCUUGGCUCCC